Panicum hallii is the source of this 2189-nucleotide long non-coding RNA. RefSeq lists it as uncharacterized. The transcript has 2 exons. The record is from RefSeq and is a predicted model, not a curated record. NCBI's taxonomy places the organism in Eukaryota, Viridiplantae, Streptophyta, Magnoliopsida, Poales, Poaceae.
UCCUCGUUCCCCAAUGGCCACCGUACGUCCUUUCCCAGCUCCACGUCUCCACCAGACACCGGUCCACCCCCGCCGCUCGCCGCGGCCCGGACGGUGCCCAGACGAGCAACCUCCGCCCGCCGCCUAGGGAUGUGCCGCAACCAGCAGCGCGCAGGUGUCGUCGGCGUUCCCUACAUCGGUACGCUCCCAGUCAACUUUCUCCGCCUCCCUUGCGCCCUCGGAGUGAAACGCAGCAAUUGUUAGGAUCAAUCGAAUUGUGGAACAGGAACACAAUCUGACUAGACGCCAGACAUUGACCACUGAACUGAAUGCCGCUGGUGAAAUUUUUUGAUUGCUCGCUGUAAGCCGUGUAUUGGAGUCGUAGUGGCAUUUUGGAUUGUUUCUUUUUUCAUGUUCCCAUGAAAUGAAACAUUAUGGGGAACUAUAAAAAAAACUUGAAGGAACUGUUAUUUUUCUUGACAUUGACAUUUCGUUUUAAUAAUUUUCUUAGCAGGUAACAAACAAAUUAUGUAGUCACUCUGAGACCUCGCUGCAAAUAUACUUUUAAUGUGAUGUUGGUAUUUAAUGUUUAUGGGUGUGUUUAGGUGCCUUCCUGCAACUAUUAUUAGUAGUGUUUUUUCCCCUUUGCGGAACUGUUAUUAAGACUGUUUGUUAUAGUGAAAAAGAGUAUACUAUGCAUGGAGAAAAUUCAUUGUAAUCGAGGCUUGAGAAUGAAAUGUGGUUGAAUGGAGCUGCUUCACAACCUUGUUUUCAUUUCUUCAAUGUAAAACUAGUAUGGUCUCAAUAUGAAUCUCUGGCAGAAGCAAUGGGAGGAACAUGCGCUACAGUGCUAGGAUCAUCAUUUGGAAUAAGCCAUGAGAUUGUCCUAGUAGUGACUAGAUUCCCUAUACUACUUGAUUGACACUUCCUCAACCAUCAUAUAGCUGGUACUGAAAAGGUUUGGUCCGUGUUAUAAGAUCAAUUAUUCUCCAUUGAAUCUUGACAUAUUGAACGGCCAAGUUGACUUCCUAUGGACUGAAUUUGUCAAAAAAAGAAAACUUCUUAGGAUACUAGUGUUCAAACUUCUCAACUUUGUGAGAACGUGUCUUUUGUUUUUACUGUCAUUCUGGAAAGUCGAAAGUAUAUUUCUGGUUCCUAAGAUUUUCUCUCAUACUGGGCGAAAUAUUCAACUGUAUCACGUUUAUUUCUGUAAAUAAACACAUCAUGCUGCAAUCCUACUUCAUGAAAAAAAACAAAGUCAAACUUCUAAACUUAAGCCGUUGGUGUUUCAUUUCCCAUGUCAAACUUCUACACUUAAGCUCAAAAUUUCAUUAUAUUGCAGUGUCUUGUGCAUGGCUGGUUCGGAUCCGAUGAUUGAGAAUAAGACCGUUACCCUCAUCUUACUGUUAUUUGGGCUGCCGCGUAGCCAUGUUAAAGUUGUGAGGCCAGUUGAUGAACUGUUGCAAUAGGCCUCACCGCCUCAAGUGGACUCUUAGGGCACCUCCAGUGCUGGUUCGACUUGUGCAGGCCACGUAAAUCGAGCAAUGCUUCAGUUCGAUAGCUGCAGUGCUAACAUCGGUUCGUGGGACCCGCAUAAAAAAACUCUCAACACCUGCGCCCAUCCUUCUUCGCUCAAACUGAUGCAAAAAUCGGCCAGCGCUCUUGUCCGUGUCUCGGUCCCCUUUCUUUCUCCUCUCUCUUCCCCACCUUCCAAUCCGGUAAUGCAUCUUGAAAUUUAGCCAUGGUCAAGAGCAGAUCGAGCCAACCAGCUGCAGAUCCAAGAAGAUCAGGUCCUUCGCAGUGCUCAUGCGGCUGGCUACUAGGGCCAGCCGAGGAGAUGAGUGCUUCGAGGGCCUCCUUGUGGAGGCGAUGCUCGUCAGGCUCAACCCGCUCAAGCACGUGGCUCCCGUCUGGUUGACGACGUCACCGGCGCCGAGGAGGAUAUGCUCCUAGGCAUCUGCCAUGACCUGUACAUCAAGGAGGUUCUUGGUCCAGAUACAUGCAAACCUGGAUCGAUUUCUUUGUUUUUUUCCAAGUCCAAGAAACAUUUCAGAUCAAUUUCCUUUUCUAUUUGUUAGCCUGUUUCUUUAAAGCAUUCGGAUCAAUUUUUCUCUUCGUUUCGAUCUUGUUUGUUCAUGGGGUUGUGUGAAAGAACAGGAUCGCAGUUGUGCUAAUCGCGGAUCCCGCCACAUCUGCAUCGUUGACGAUUA